GACGUAGGGCGCGAGCGUUGUCCGGAUUUAUUGGGCGUAAAGAGCUCGUAGGCGGCUUGUCGCGUCGAAUGUGAAAACUCGGGGCUCAACUCCGAGCUUGCAUUCGAUACGGGCAGGCUAGAGUUCGGUAGGGGAGACUGGAAUUCCUGGUGUAGCGGUGAAAUGCGCAGAUAUCAGGAGGAACACCGGUGGCGAAGGCGGGUCUCUGGGCCGAUACUGACGCUGAGGAGCGAAAGCGUGGAGAGCGAACAGG
Molecule: ribosomal RNA, 253 nt
Filed under: uncultured bacterium
Lineage: Bacteria
Description: partial 16S ribosomal RNA
Rfam family: Bacterial small subunit ribosomal RNA
Source: RNAcentral